ACAAACUUGGUCAUUUAGAGGAAGUAAAAGUCGUAACAAGGUUUCCGUAGGUGAACCUGCGGAAGGAUCAUUACCGAGUACCGGGGCUCCGGCCCCUGCUCCCACCCUUUGUGAACCUGUUUCUGUUGCUUUGGCGGGCCGGUGGCCUGGCCGCCGCCGGCCGCGAGGCUGGAGAGCGCCCGCCAGAGGGAUUUUCAACUCUUGUUUCUAACAUGGAGCUCUGAGUCUUAGAAGAAAUUGAAUCAAAACUUUCAACAACGGAUCUCUUGGUUCUGGCAUCGAUGAAGAACGCAGC
RNAcentral lists this unclassified non-coding RNA (295 nucleotides) under uncultured fungus. RNAcentral's name for it is "partial contains small subunit ribosomal RNA, internal transcribed spacer 1, and 5.8S ribosomal RNA". The stretch from base 1 to 73 matches the Rfam family "Eukaryotic small subunit ribosomal RNA", at positions 1759 to 1831 of the family's 1831-position model. The record is from RNAcentral. Lineage: Eukaryota; Fungi.